RNAcentral lists this ribosomal RNA (433 nucleotides) under uncultured microorganism. RNAcentral's name for it is "bacterial SSU rRNA". It matches the Rfam family "Bacterial small subunit ribosomal RNA", at positions 346 to 795 of the family's 1533-position model. The record is from RNAcentral.
UGGCUGCAGCAAGGAAUCUUGCGCAAUGGGCGAAAGCCUGACGCAGCGACGCCGCGUGGGGGACGAAGACCUUCGGGUUGUAAACCCCUUUUGUGAGGGACGAAUAAUGACGGUACCUCAUGAAUAAGUCUCGGCUAACUACGUGCCAGCAGCCGCGGUAAUACGUAGGAGGCAAGCGUUAUCCGGAUUUAUUGGGCGUAAAGAGCGCGUAGGCGGCUUAACAAGUCGGAUGUGAAAUCUCCCGGCUUAACCGGGAGGGGUCAUUCGAUACUGUUAGGCUAGAGGGCAGCAGAAGGAGAUGGAAUUCCCGGUGUAGUGGUGAAAUGCGUAGAUAUCGGGAGGAACACCAGUGGCGAAGGCGGUCUUCUAGGCUGUUACUGACGCUGAGGUGCGAAAGCGUGGGGAGCGAACAGGAUUAGAUACCCUUGUAGUC